This 529-nucleotide ribosomal RNA is filed under the name uncultured bacterium. RNAcentral describes it as "partial 16S ribosomal RNA". It matches the Rfam family "Bacterial small subunit ribosomal RNA", at positions 355 to 900 of the family's 1533-position model. The record is from RNAcentral.
UGGGGAAUAUUGCACAAUGGGCGAAAGCCUGAUGCAGCAACGCCGCGUGAGUGAUGAAGGCCCUCGGGUUGUAAAGCUCUGUCUUUUGGGACGAUAAUGACGGUACCAAAGGAGGAAGCCACGGCUAACUACGUGCCAGCAGCCGCGGUAAUACGUAGGUGGCAAGCGUUGUCCGGAUUUACUGGGCGUAAAGGAUGCGUAGGCGGAUUUUUAAGUGAGAUGUGAAAUACCCGGGCUUAACUUGGGUGCUGCAUUUCAAACUGGGAAUCUAGAGUGCGGGAGAGGAGAAUGGAAUUCCUAGUGUAGCGGUGAAAUGCGUAGAGAUUAGGAAGAACACCAGUGGCGAAGGCGAUUCUCUGGACCGUAACUGACGCUGAGGCAUGAAAGCGUGGGUAGCAAACAGGAUUAGAUACCCUGGUAGUCCACGCCGUAAACGAUGAGUACUAGGUGUAGGAGGUAUCGACCCCUUCUGUGCCGCAGUUAACACAAUAAGUACUCCGCCUGGGAAGUACGAUCGCAAGAUUAAAAA